RNAcentral lists this ribosomal RNA (462 nucleotides) under uncultured bacterium. RNAcentral describes it as "partial 16S ribosomal RNA". It matches the Rfam family "Bacterial small subunit ribosomal RNA", at positions 29 to 507 of the family's 1533-position model. The record is from RNAcentral.
AACAAACGCUGGCGGCGUGCCUAAUACAUGCAAGUCGAACGGGGAAAGCUUUCGGGUGAGUACUAGUGGCGCACGGGUGAGGAACGCGUGGAUAAUCUGCCUUAGAGUGGGGGAUAACUAGUCGAAAGAUUAGCUAAUACCGCAUAAGACCACGAGAGCUGCGGCUUUUGAGGUCAAAGGUUUUUCGCUCUAAGAUGAGUCCGCGUAAGAUUAGCUAGUUGGUGAGGUAACGGCUCACCAAGGCGACGAUCUUUAACUGGUCUGAGAGGGUGAUCAGUCACACUGGAACUGAGACACGGUCCAGACUCCUACGGGAGGCAGCAGUAGGGAAUAUUGCACAAUGGAGGAAACUCUGAUGCAGCGACGCCGCGUGAGUGAUGAAGGCCUUCGGGUCGUAAAGCUCUGUCGCAGGGGAAUAACACAAUGAAGGUACCCUGUAAGAAAGGAUCGGCUAACUUCGUG